This 21-nucleotide non-coding RNA is filed under the name Caenorhabditis elegans. The record is from RNAcentral. Lineage: Eukaryota; Metazoa; Nematoda; Chromadorea; Rhabditida; Rhabditidae.
UAAUGUUUCUGGAUUGAGGAA